CCUAUAGCUCAAUAGGUUAGAGCAGCUGACUCAUAAUCAGCAGGCUACAGGUUCAAGUCCUGUUGGGC
Molecule: transfer RNA, 68 nt
Filed under: pig gut metagenome
Rfam family: tRNA
About the family: Transfer RNA (tRNA) molecules are approximately 80 nucleotides in length.
Source: RNAcentral